GACAGAGGGGCCGAGCGUUAGGCGGAAUCACUGGGCUUAAAGCGUGUGUAGGCGGACCGUUAAGUACCUUGUGAAAUCCCACGGCUCAACCGUGGAACGGCUGGGUAUACUGGCGGUCUUGGGCCACCUAGGGGUCAUCGGAACAGGCGGUGGAGCGGUGAAAUGCGUAGAUAUCGCCUGGAACGCCGACGGUGAAAACAGAUGACUGGGGGUGUGCCGACGCUGAGACACGAAAGCCAGGGGAGCGAACGGG
This 253-nucleotide ribosomal RNA is filed under the name uncultured bacterium. RNAcentral describes it as "partial 16S ribosomal RNA". It matches the Rfam family "Bacterial small subunit ribosomal RNA", at positions 524 to 776 of the family's 1533-position model. The record is from RNAcentral.